This 301-nucleotide ribosomal RNA is filed under the name uncultured bacterium. RNAcentral describes it as "partial 16S ribosomal RNA". It matches the Rfam family "Bacterial small subunit ribosomal RNA", at positions 509 to 807 of the family's 1533-position model. The record is from RNAcentral.
CAGUCGCCACGGUAAUACAGAGGGUGCGAGCGUUAAUCGGAUUUACUGGGCGUAAAGCGUGCGUAGGCGGCUAAUUGAGUCGGAUGUGAAAUCCCAGAGCUUAACUUGGGAAUUGCAUUCGAUACUGGUUAGCUAGAGUGUGGGAGAGGAUGGUAGAAUUCCAGGUGUAGCGGUGAAAUGCGUAGAGAUCUGGAGGAAUACCGAUGGCGAAGGCAGCCAUCUGGCCUAACACUGACGCUGAGGUACGAAAGCAUGGGGAGCAAACAGGAUUAGAUACCCCCGUAGUCCCUGUCUCUUAUAC